GCACCCGGCAACGUGGAAGGUUCCCCGGAGACGGGGAUGAAAACGGGAACGGGGUGCAAGACCCCGGCUGCCCCUGCAACUGUGAGCGGAUAGCCGCAUGCCAUGAGGCCAUUGGGAUCGCCCGCCGAUCCUGAGAAGGCGGCAUGACCGGCCUUGACCCGCGAGCCAGGAGACCUGCCUUUCGCCGUCGUCUUUC
Molecule: non-coding RNA, 196 nt
Filed under: Novosphingobium nitrogenifigens
Lineage: Bacteria; Pseudomonadati; Pseudomonadota; Alphaproteobacteria; Sphingomonadales; Sphingomonadaceae
Also listed under: 1 other name
Source: RNAcentral